Bombyx mori (domestic silkworm) is the source of this 78-nucleotide non-coding RNA. NCBI's taxonomy places the organism in Eukaryota, Metazoa, Arthropoda, Insecta, Lepidoptera, Bombycidae. The record is from Rfam.
UUAACUCAAAUUUGUAUGGAGUUGGAACGUUUGCCUACGUUUGCCGCUAGGGGCGCUGUUCCAUACAAAUUUGAGUUU